UAAGCGCGAACUUCGAAAGGGGA
Molecule: non-coding RNA, 23 nt
Filed under: Arabidopsis thaliana (thale cress)
Lineage: Eukaryota; Viridiplantae; Streptophyta; Magnoliopsida; Brassicales; Brassicaceae
Source: RNAcentral